AAGAGAUCGGGAUAACACCUAGGAAACAGAUGCUAAUACCGGAUAACAACAGAUGGUGCCUAUCAACUGUUUAAAAGAUGGUUCUGCUAUCACUCUUGGAUGGACCUGCGGUGCAUUAGCUAGUUGGUAGGGUAACGGCCUACCAAGGCGAUGAUGCAUAGCCGAGUUGAGAGACUGAUCGGCCACAUUGGGACUGAGACACGGCCCAAACUCCUACGGGAGGCAGCAGUC
RNAcentral lists this ribosomal RNA (231 nucleotides) under uncultured Lactobacillus sp. Its description in RNAcentral is "partial 16S ribosomal RNA". It matches the Rfam family "Bacterial small subunit ribosomal RNA", at positions 132 to 355 of the family's 1533-position model. The record is from RNAcentral. Lineage: Bacteria; Bacillati; Bacillota; Bacilli; Lactobacillales; Lactobacillaceae.